This is a long non-coding RNA of Alnus glutinosa, 785 nucleotides long. RefSeq lists it as uncharacterized. The transcript is spliced from 2 exons. Lineage: Eukaryota; Viridiplantae; Streptophyta; Magnoliopsida; Fagales; Betulaceae. The record is from RefSeq and is a predicted model, not a curated record.
ACUCUUCUUCCCUUUUCUUUCUUUCUUCUUUCCUCUUUUCUCUGUUCUUCGUUUGUCUUCCACCCGGGAGACACCAAACGGAGAGAUGAGAGAUGGAGACCGAUUGAGAGGGAGAGAUCAGAGAGAGAUGAGAUUCGAGAGAGAGUGAGAUCGAGAGAGAGAUGAGAUCGGGCGAGUGAGAGAUGAAACCGAGAGGGAGAGGACCCGGAGACCCGAUUCUCCCGGAGGCUAGUAUUCCGUCGGCCAGAAUCCAUUUCCGGCGACUGGGGAAACAGCCGACGAACGGAGACCUCCAGUGGUGCGAUUUUCGGUGAAGCCUGAAGGAAACCCGUGACCCAGUGAUCCGCGACCCGAGACCCGUGAAACCCGACCCUCCAGGAACGGUUUUCCGGCGAGUUCUCCGACAAACCAGAGCCGAUUUCCCGUGAUUUCUUCGGUGGAUUUUCUGGGAAAAUCCUCAAAAUGUUUGCGCAGGUUCUGAAGAUUAAGGAAUGGAUUAACUGCUAGUUUAAGAGAUUUAAAGCUAUGUAGUUAGGAUUUUAGUGCUUUGUACUUGUAAAUGUUUGUACUAUUUUGUAUGUAACAUAUUUAGGAAUUUACUUGUAUUUAGUAAGUUUCCAUGUAUGUUUUGGUGUCAUAUGUGACACAUGUUUCUUUGUAAUUAGUGUAAAGAACUUUUAAUUUAUUUCUAGAGGAAUUUCAGUCAAAGCUCUAAAUGUAUUGUAAGGGAAUUGUCCCUGACGUUUGUAAAGAAAAAAAAAAUAUAUUUGUAUUUUUCACUGCGA